AUGGCGGCCACGGUGACCACGAAACUGCGGGAGCCCGGACGGGACGUCGACGGCGAGCUGAGCGAUGUACCCGCCGUCCGACCCGACCCCGGCCUCGGCCCGCCGUUGGACAGGGCGCCGACCCACGAACCAGUGCCCACGGCGAUGCCGCCGGCAGCGGAGUCCUCGUCUAUGAGAAAGCUGGGGAAGCUCUUCAGGCUCACCGAAGUGCACCUCUGGGAUGAUUUUUAUGUGAAGACUGAGGAUUGCGAUGCUACAGAGACUACUGAUUGCACGGGAUCUCAAACAACUGAAACCCGCAAUAAAGGAGCCAAAACAACAGAUGAAGAUCAUUCAUUUGUUGAAGAUAUGGAAUUGGCUAGUCGCAUGGCAGAUCAGACUGGUGAUGACACGCAUCUGAAUGAGCAGAGACAUCAACUUAUUUACAAUGACGCACUCAGUUUAUCAGACAUUCCUGACAAAGAGUUGAUAUAUAUAAGUGUGAUAGCUACCAUUGAUGAAGCACAACAUGACAAAAAUAUGCAGAAUGAUAGUCCAAUGACUGAAGUGUUAGAAAUGAACCAAGAAGGUACUACCAACAAAAAUAAAAAGAGAAUUAGUUUUCCUUGGCAAGGGUGGCGUUCAAUAUGCAGCUUCUUGCUAUACCUACCCUUCAUGUAUUGGAAUCAGCGGUACUCGCUUUUCUCCCUUUUUGAUAGUGGUAUAAAGAUGGAUGAAGAGGGGUGGUUUUCGGUGACGCCAGAGCCCAUCGCAAAGCAUCAUGCAUCUCGUGUUGGUGCGGGCAUAUUGAUUGACUGUUUCGCAGGAGUUGGUGGUAAUACCAUCCAGUUUGCCACAAAGUGUAAGCAUGUUGUUGCUGUUGACAUUGACCCACAGAAGAUUGGUUAUGCACAGCAUAAUGCAACUAUUUACGGAGUAAAUGAUCACAUAGACUUUAUCGUAGGAGAUUUUAUUAAUAUAGCACCUCAUCUGAAGGGAGAAACUGUUUUCAUGUCACCCCCUUGGGGUGGACCAGACUAUGCCAAAGUCGAUGUUUACGAUAUGAAAACCAUGCUUAAGCCUUGUGAUGGGUACCAUCUCUUCAAACUUGCCACGGCUAUCGCUUCGAGAGUAGUCAUGUUUCUUCCUCGCAACAGCGAUCUAGAGCAACUGGCGGACAUGUGCUUGUCGGUCGAUCCUCCAUGGGCGGUUGAGGUGGAGAAGAAUUUCCUCAAUGGGAAGCUGAAAACCAUAACAGCGUACUUUGAAGAACACGUGAGCACAGACGUGGAACACCAAUGA
RNAcentral lists this ribosomal RNA (1281 nucleotides) under Triticum aestivum (bread wheat). RNAcentral's name for it is "partial small subunit ribosomal RNA". The record is from RNAcentral. Lineage: Eukaryota; Viridiplantae; Streptophyta; Magnoliopsida; Poales; Poaceae.